Molecule: ribosomal RNA, 374 nt
Filed under: uncultured bacterium
Lineage: Bacteria
Description: bacterial SSU rRNA
Rfam family: Bacterial small subunit ribosomal RNA
Source: RNAcentral
GUAGGGAGCGAGCGUUGUCCGGAUUCAUUGGGCGUAAAGAGCGCGCAGGCGGUUUGGUAAGUCGGAUGUGAAAACCCGGGGCUCAACCCCGGGCGUGCAUCCGAUACUGCCCGACUAGAGGUAGGUAGGGGAGAUCGGAAUUCCUGGUGUAGCGGUGAAAUGCGCAGAUAUCAGGAGGAACACCGGUGGCGAAGGCGGAUCUCUGGGCCUUACCUGACGCUCAGGCGCGAAAGCUAGGGGAGCGAACAGGAUUAGAUACCCUGGUAGUCCUAGCCGUAAACGUUGGGUGCUAGGUGUGGGCGGAUAUCGACCCCGUCCGUGCCGAAGCUAACGCAUUAAGCACCCCGCCUGGGGAGUACGGCCGCAAGGCUAAA